ACAGAGGUCCCAAGCGUUGUUCGGGUUCAUUGGGCGUAAAGGGUGCGUAGGUGGUGCUGUAAGUCAGGUGUGAAAUCUCGGGGCUCAACCCCGAAACUGCACUUGAUACUGCAGUGCUGGAGGACUGGAGAGGAGAUCGGAAUUCAUGGUGUAGCAGUGAAAUGCGUAGAUAUCAUGAGGAAGACCGGUGGCGAAGGCGGAUCUCUGGACAGUUCCUGACACUGAGGCACGAAGGCUAGGGGAGCAAACGGGA
This 253-nucleotide ribosomal RNA is filed under the name uncultured prokaryote. RNAcentral describes it as "partial 16S ribosomal RNA". It matches the Rfam family "Bacterial small subunit ribosomal RNA", at positions 525 to 777 of the family's 1533-position model. The record is from RNAcentral.